GGAUGUGAGGGCAAUUAGGCUGCAGUCAUCUGUCACCCCAUUGAUGGCCAAGUGGAUUCAGCUGAUCUGGAUGACUAGGCGGGUCCCAUUCCUCCCUCACCGCUCCAUGUGUGUUCCACUGGCAGCUCAGUCAAAGAGGACGGCCUUCUCCAAAUAGAGACAGACUGGUCUUCAGUUGAGCGUAUAGGAGUAGCUGCACUCCCCUGCGAGAAUCUCCAAACAGGCUCUCAAGGAAUCCCGCCUCCACCACUUACCAUGUAAGUUGGGGUAAACGGUCUUGUCUUUUUGAGCUUCCUAUGACUUAUUGUUCAUCACUAGUAGUUCAGUG
Molecule: unclassified non-coding RNA, 328 nt
Organism: Erinaceus europaeus (western European hedgehog)
Lineage: Eukaryota; Metazoa; Chordata; Mammalia; Eulipotyphla; Erinaceidae
Gene: 7SK
Rfam family: 7SK RNA
About the family: 7SK was discovered as an abundant small nuclear RNA in the mid-70s but a possible function has only recently been suggested. Two independent studies have found that 7SK RNA binds the CDK9/cyclin T complex (known as elongation factor P-TEFb).
Source: Ensembl